CCUACGGGAGGCAGCAGUGAGGAAUAUUGGUCAAUGGUCGGAAGGCUGAACCAGCCAAGCCGCGUGAAGGACGAAGGUGCCAAGCAUUGUAAACUUCUUUUGUCAAGGGACAAAAUCAGGCUCGAGAGCCUGACCGAGGGUACUUGAUGAAAAAGCAUCGGCUAACUCCGUGCCAGCAGCCGCGGUAAUACGGAGGAUGCGAGCGUUAUCCGGAUUUAUUGGGUUUAAAGGGUGCGUAGGGGGACUGUUAAGUCAGCGGUAAAAGGUCGGGGCUCAACCCCGGCGAGCCGUUGAUACUGGCUGUCUUGAGAAGUCGAGAGGUAUGCGGAAUGCGCAGUGUAGCGGUGAAAUGCUUAGAUAUUGCGCAGAACUCCGAUUGCGAAGGCAGCAUACCGGCGGCGAUCUGACGCUGAGGCACGAAAGCGUGGGUAUCGAACAGGAUUAGAUACCCGAGUAGUC
This 459-nucleotide ribosomal RNA is filed under the name uncultured bacterium. RNAcentral's name for it is "partial 16S ribosomal RNA". It matches the Rfam family "Bacterial small subunit ribosomal RNA", at positions 338 to 795 of the family's 1533-position model. The record is from RNAcentral.